GGGGAAUAUUGCACAAUGGGCGCAAGCCUGAUGCAGCCAUGCCGCGUGUAUGAAGAAGGCCUUCGGGUUGUAAAGUACUUUCAGCGGGGAGGAAGGCGACAGGGUUAAUAACCCUGUCGAUUGACGUUACCCGCAGAAGAAGCACCGGCUAACUCCGUGCCAGCAGCCGCGGUAAUACGGAGGGUGCAGGCGUUAAUCGGAAUUACUGGGCGUAAAGCGCACGCAGGCGGUCUGUCAAGUCGGAUGUGAAAUCCCCGGGCUCAACCUGGGAACUGCAUUCGAAACUGGCAGGCUAGAGUCUUGUAGAGGGGGGUAGAAUUCCAGGUGUAGCGGUGAAAUGCGUAGAGAUCUGGAGGAAUACCGGUGGCGAAGGCGGCCCCCUGGACAAAGACUGACGCUCAGGUGCGAAAGCGUGGGGAGCAAAC
Molecule: ribosomal RNA, 425 nt
Filed under: uncultured bacterium
Lineage: Bacteria
Description: bacterial SSU rRNA
Rfam family: Bacterial small subunit ribosomal RNA
Source: RNAcentral